RNAcentral lists this ribosomal RNA (289 nucleotides) under uncultured bacterium. RNAcentral describes it as "partial 16S ribosomal RNA". It matches the Rfam family "Bacterial small subunit ribosomal RNA", at positions 335 to 643 of the family's 1533-position model. The record is from RNAcentral.
GUCCUACGGGGGGCAGCAGUGGGGAAUAUUGCACAAUGGGGGAAACCCUGAUGCAGCGACGCCGCGUGAGUGAAGAAGUAUUUCGGUAUGUAAAGCUCUAUCAGCAGGGAAGAUAAUGACGGUACCUGACUAAGAAGCCCCGGCUAACUACGUGCCAGCAGCCGCGGUAAUACGGAGGAUGCGAGCGUUAUCCGGAUUUAUUGGGUUUAAAGGGUGCGUAGGCGGGCUGUUAAGUCAGCGGUAAAAGCCCGGGGCUCAACCCCGGCGAGCCGUUGAAACUGGCUGUCUU